UACGGGGGGAGCAAGCGUUUGUUCGGAUUUACUGGGCGUAAAGGGCGCGUAGGCGGUCGUGACAAGUCACUUGUGAAAUCUCCGGGCUUAACUCGGAACGGUCAAGUGAUACUGUCGGACUAGAGUACAGAAGGGGCAACUGGAAUUCUCGGUGUAGCGGUGAAAUGCGUAGAUAUCGAGAGGAACACCUGCGGCGAAGGCGGGUUGCUGGGCUGAUACUGACGCUGAGGCGCGAAAAGCUAGGGGGAGCGAACGGG
RNAcentral lists this ribosomal RNA (257 nucleotides) under uncultured bacterium. RNAcentral describes it as "partial 16S ribosomal RNA". It matches the Rfam family "Bacterial small subunit ribosomal RNA", at positions 524 to 776 of the family's 1533-position model. The record is from RNAcentral.